CAGGCUCUCGCUCUCUUUAGGCUUUUCUCUGUUCCUUUCUGCUGCAUACAAGGAGCUGAGGGCCAGGAGCCCCUCUGGAGUGUUUGUUUAUUCAGCAGUAGUUGUGAACUACUACAUGCAUUGUGUUGAGUACCAGGGAGACCGCAGUGACCAUGUCACCCACCCUUGAGGUUUACAGAAGUUCUACUAAGAGAAAGGGUGAACCAUAAACUAGAACAGUAGAGAUUCCAGACAAUGAGGAGUUGGCUGAGGAGGUUAAAGCAGUGUGACAUACUGUGCUCUGAGUGGGGAGGGACGCUGAGCCAAGGGCCUUUGAACUGCCUUUGGAAGAGCUGUGGAAGAAUAUUCCAGACAAUGGAGAGAGUCAGAUCCUGGGGCCGGAGGCAAAUCAGGGCUGCCACAUUGAGGGAUUUGAAAGAAGGCCAUGUUGUGGUAGUGGUAGUGAGAUGGGGCUCCCUGGUAAGAGCUGGGCAGAGGCCACCCCCAGAGGGACUGAUGAGGAGAGGGCCUGCUGUCCCAUGAGUGGCAGAAGCCCUGGGGUGGUGCUUUGUAAAGCUUCCUUUGGCCACAGUGUGGGGAAGGGGUAGUUAAGGGGUGCGAGAGGCGGCCUGAAGAUCCAUGAGCAGCCACCGGCCGGAGGUGAUGAAAGUUGGGCCUGGGGUGGC
This 665-nucleotide long non-coding RNA is filed under the name Marmota monax (woodchuck). The record is from RNAcentral. Lineage: Eukaryota; Metazoa; Chordata; Mammalia; Rodentia; Sciuridae.